UAGGUACAGCGCGCCUACGGCCGCCGCGGCGAGCACCGCCAGCACGACCGCGGUGAUCACCACGCAGCAGAGGAGCCGGCAGCAGCAACCACGGCCGCGCCGCUUCCUCGACGGCGGCGGAGGUAGCGGCGCCGCUGGCGCGACGCGGCGCGGCGGCGGAGGCAGCGGGCCGCCCGGGACGUAGGCGCGUUGUUGGUGGUGGUGGUUGGCGCUCCGCGCUGCCGCAGGGUCGCCCUUGUCUGACCGGAACGACGAGCCUCCCGGCACCAGCGGCGCCGUCGGCCGGUUGCUGCCGCCCUCCAGGUCCACAGGGUGGAUCCUCUGGUGAUCCGACAUGGUCGGAGCGGCUACGUGCAGGUGCACCACCGUACCCCGCUGCUCUGCUUCUCCUCUGACCUCUCGACACAAGCAAAGGCAACGCGAGGUCACGCUUAGCUCCAGUCGCCCUGCCUGCACUGCCUUUGCUCCCUGGUCUCUGUGCGUGCGUGUUCCCCCCUCUGUUUCUGGCUGCAGAGACCCGAGCGGCUCGCUCUCUAUAUAGGAGGCGCGACGCUAGGCGUCACGCCACUACGGGACGACGGCGAGGAGGCGGCGGAACCUCGGUUGACUUGGGUAAUUGGGUUGUGGGCGAGGCUUGUUUGUGAAGGCCGCAGGCGAGACACUGCGAGGGGGUGGGCGGAGGCGGGAACGUGAAGUCUCCACCUGCCCCCAACGGCACGCAGAGCCACUAGCCACUGCGCGUCGUCCAGUGUGUGCCAGGGCCCGGGGGGUGCGGCGCUUUUUCGCGGUGGGGUGGCGCGUGGAAGGGAGCGGGAGGCGCGGGGCUGGUGGGUGGCUGGCUGCCGAGACGCGUCACCGCGGUGCGGCGCGGCGCGGCGUUCUUUUGGGCAUUGUUUAGUUGCAAAAUAUUUUGCAAAAUCGACACGAUAGGUUUUUCGUUUGUAUUUGACAAAUUUGUCCAAUCAUGGACUAACUAGGCUCAAAAGAUUCGUCUCGUCAAUUUCGACCAAACUGUGCAAUUAGUUUUUAUUUUUAUCUAUAUUUAAUACUUCAUGCAUGUGUAUAAAGAUUCGAUGUGACGGAGAAUCUGAAAAAUUUUGCAAAAUUUUUUUGGAACUAAACAAAACAAGGUUCAAAGGGGGGUGGACGGACAGACGGACGGCUCGAUGUGUGAUGCUGCACAUGGGGCGCAC
Molecule: long non-coding RNA, 1193 nt
Filed under: Sorghum bicolor (sorghum)
Lineage: Eukaryota; Viridiplantae; Streptophyta; Magnoliopsida; Poales; Poaceae
Description: long non-coding RNA (SBIC_LNC000414)
Source: RNAcentral